UUCUUGUCAUCCUCCUCAUGAAAGGGUGAGACAGAUAGAGAGAGAUAAAGGAGACGAGAGGGAAGAUAGAGGUUAGGAGGGGGGAGAGAGAGAGAGAGAGAGAGAGAGAGAGAGAGAGAGAGAGAGAGCAGGUGAGUGGGGUUUAGGGUUUCGUCGAGCAAUUGAGGCAAGGGAGCGGCUCAGGAUUCGGUUUAGGAAUGAAGGGAGAGCGAGUCAGAGAGGAGAAAUGGACAUACAUUGGAUGUAAAAAAUAUCCGAAUUAUCGAGAGCUAUAUCCUAUUUUUUUUAAUAUU
This 293-nucleotide long non-coding RNA is filed under the name Ananas comosus (pineapple). RNAcentral describes it as "long non-coding RNA (ACOM_LNC029215)". The record is from RNAcentral. Lineage: Eukaryota; Viridiplantae; Streptophyta; Magnoliopsida; Poales; Bromeliaceae.